CAAACUGCGAAUACCGGAGAAUGUUAUCACGGGAGACACACGGCGGGUGCUAACGUCCGUCGUGAAGAGGGAAACAACCCAGACCGCCAGCUAAGGUCCCAAAGUCAUGGUUAAGUGGGAAACGAUGUGGGAAGGCCCAGACAGCCAGGAUGUUGGCUUAGAAGCAGCCAUCAUUUAAAGAAAGCGUAAUAGCUCACUGGUCGAGUCGGCCUGCGCGGAAGAUGUAACGGGGCUAAACCAUGCACCGAAGCUGCGGCAGCGACACUGUGUGUUGUUGGGUAGGGGAGCGUUCUGUAAGCCUGUGAAGGUGUGUCGUGAGGCAUGCUGGAGGUAUCAGAAGUGCGAAUGCUGACAUAAGUAACGAUAAAGCGGGUGAAAAGCCCGCUCGCCGGAAGACCAAGGGUUCCUGUCCAACGUUAAUCGGGGCAGGGUGAGUCGACCCCUAAGGCGAGGCCGAAAGGCGUAGUCGAUGGGAAACGGGUUAAUAUUCCCGUACUUGGUGUUACUGCGAAGGGGGGACGGAGAAGGCUAUGUUGGCCGGGCGACGGUUGUCCCGGUUUAAGCGUGUAGGUGUGUGUUCCAGGUAAAUCCGGUUCACUUUAACACUGAGGCGUGACGACGAGGCACUACGGUGCUGAAGCAACAAAUGCCCUGCUUCCAGGAAAAGCCUCUAAGCAUCAGGUAACAUCAAAUCGUACCCCAAACCGACACAGGUGGUCAGGUAGAGAAUACCAAGGCGCUUGAGAGAACUCGGGUGAAGGAACUAGGCAAAAUGGUGCCGUAACUUCGGGAGAAGGCACGCUGACACGUAGGUGAAGUGAUUUACUCAUGGAGCUGAAGUCAGUCGAAGAUACCAGCUGGCUGCAACUGUUUAUUAAAAACACAGCACUGUGCAAACACGAAAGUGGACGUAUACGGUGUGACGCCUGCCCGGUGCCGGAAGGUUAAUUGAUGGGGUCAGCGCAAGCGAAGCUCCUGAUCGAAGCCCCGGUAAACGGCGGCCGUAACUAUAACGGUCCUAAGGUAGCGAAAUUCCUUGUCGGGUAAGUUCCGACCUGCACGAAUGGCGUAAUGAUGGCCAGGCUGUCUCCACCCGAGACUCAGUGAAAUUGAACUCGCUGUGAAGAUGCAGUGUACCCGCGGCAAGACGGAAAGACCCCGUGAACCUUUACUAUAGCUUGACACUGAACAUUGAGCCUUGAUGUGUAGGAUAGGUGGGAGGCUUUGAAGUGUGGACGCCAGUCUGCAUGGAGCCGACCUUGAAAUACCACCCUUUAAUGUUUGAUGUUCUAACGUGGACCCGUUACCCGGGUUGCGGACAGUGUCUGGUGGGUAGUUUGACUGGGGCGGUCUCCUCCUAAAGAGUAACGGAGGAGCACGAAGGUUGGCUAAUCCUGGUCGGACAUCAGGAGGUUAGUGCAAUGGCAUAAGCCAGCUUGACUGCGAGCGUGACGGCGCGAGCAGGUGCGAAAGCAGGUCAUAGUGAUCCGGUGGUUCUGAAUGGAAGGGCCAUCGCUCAACGGAUAAAAGGUACUCCGGGGAUAACAGGCUGAUACCGCCCAAGAGUUCAUAUCGACGGCGGUGUUUGGCACCUCGAUGUCGGCUCAUCACAUCCUGGGGCUGAAGUAGGUCCCAAGGGUAUGGCUGUUCGCCAUUUAAAGUGGUACGCGAGCUGGGUUUAGAACGUCGUGAGACAGUUCGGUCCCUAUCUGCCGUGGGCGCUGGAGAACUGAGGGGGGCUGCUCCUAGUACGAGAGGACCGGAGUGGACGCAUCACUGGUGUUCGGGUUGUCAUGCCAAUGGCACUGCCCGGUAGCUAAAUGCGGAAGAGAUAAGUGCUGAAAGCAUCUAAGCACGAAACUUGCCCCGA
This 1870-nucleotide ribosomal RNA is filed under the name Salmonella enterica subsp. enterica serovar Enteritidis. Its description in RNAcentral is "partial 23S ribosomal RNA". It matches the Rfam family "Bacterial large subunit ribosomal RNA", at positions 950 to 2802 of the family's 2925-position model. Lineage: Bacteria; Pseudomonadati; Pseudomonadota; Gammaproteobacteria; Enterobacterales; Enterobacteriaceae. The record is from RNAcentral.